RNAcentral lists this ribosomal RNA (757 nucleotides) under Escherichia coli. RNAcentral's name for it is "partial 23S ribosomal RNA". It matches the Rfam family "Bacterial large subunit ribosomal RNA", at positions 911 to 1667 of the family's 2925-position model. Lineage: Bacteria; Pseudomonadati; Pseudomonadota; Gammaproteobacteria; Enterobacterales; Enterobacteriaceae. The record is from RNAcentral.
UGUUUCGGCAAGGGGGUCAUCCCGACUUACCAACCCGAUGCAAACUGCGAAUACCGGAGAAUGUUAUCACGGGAGACACACGGCGGGUGCUAACGUCCGUCGUGAAGAGGGAAACAACCCAGACCGCCAGCUAAGGUCCCAAAGUCAUGGUUAAGUGGGAAACGAUGUGGGAAGGCCCAGACAGCCAGGAUGUUGGCUUAGAAGCAGCCAUCAUUUAAAGAAAGCGUAAUAGCUCACUGGUCGAGUCGGCCUGCGCGGAAGAUGUAACGGGGCUAAACCAUGCACCGAAGCUGCGGCAGCGACGCUUAUGCGUUGUUGGGUAGGGGAGCGUUCUGUAAGCCUGUGAAGGUGUGCUGUGAGGCAUGCUGGAGGUAUCAGAAGUGCGAAUGCUGACAUAAGUAACGAUAAAGCGGGUGAAAAGCCCGCUCGCCGGAAGACCAAGGGUUCCUGUCCAACGUUAAUCGGGGCAGGGUGAGUCGACCCCUAAGGCGAGGCCGAAAGGCGUAGUCGAUGGGAAACAGGUUAAUAUUCCUGUACUUGGUGUUACUGCGAAGGGGGGACGGAGAAGGCUAUGUUGGCCGGGCGACGGUUGUCCCGGUUUAAGCGUGUAGGCUGGUUUUCCAGGCAAAUCCGGAAAAUCAAGGCUGAGGCGUGAUGACGAGGCACUACGGUGCUGAAGCAACAAAUGCCCUGCUUCCAGGAAAAGCCUCUAAGCAUCAGGUAACAUCAAAUCGUACCCCAAACCGACACAGGUGGU